Molecule: ribosomal RNA, 389 nt
Filed under: uncultured eukaryote
Lineage: Eukaryota
Description: SSU rRNA
Rfam family: Eukaryotic small subunit ribosomal RNA
Source: RNAcentral
AGCUCCAGUAGCGUAUAUUAAAGUUGUUGCAGUUAAAAAGCUCGUAGUUGGAAUUUUGGUUUGAGACGCCUGGCCCGCCAGCGAAAGCUGUGUGAGUGCCGGUGUGUCUCUGCCAUCCUUCUGGUCAGCGUUUCUACCUUUUAUUAGGCCGGAUUCGUGAACCAGAUCUUUUACUUUGAAAAAAUUAGAGUGUUUAAAGCAAGCUUGCGCUAUGAAUACAUUAGCAUGGAAUAAUAAUUUAGGACUUUGGUUCUAUUUUGUUGGUUUCUAGAACUGAAGUAAUGAUUGAUAGGGAUAGUUGGGGGUGCUAGUAUUCAACGGCCAGAGGUGAAAUUCUUGGAUUCGUUGAAGACUAACUUAUGCGAAAGCAUUCACCAAGGAUGUCUUCU